AUGGUCUUAAUGGCAGCCACAGUCCCUUCUGUUAGUCUAGGGUCCCAUGCCUUCUAACUCUCUUUGCAUACACCAGAGGGUACCUGGGACUCCUAAUAUGCUUAAUUGCAGCUGUGGACUCUUCUGUUUGUCUGGGAUCCCACUCCCUCUAACUCCCCUUGCGUUAAGCACAGUGUACUUGGGACUGUUAAUGGGCUUAAUGCAGCCACAGUCCCUUCUGUUAGUAGGACCCCAUGCCUGCCAACUCCCUUUGCUCACAGAAGAGGGUACCUGGGACUCUUAAUGUGCUUAAAUGCACCUGUGGUCUCUUGUGUUAGUCUGGGAUCCCAUGCCCUCCAACUCCCAUUGCAUUAUACACGGGGUACUUGGGACUGUUAAUGUGCUCUACUGAAACUGCAGUCCCUUCUAUUAGUCUAGGAUCCUAUGCCCUGCAACUCCUUUUGCAUUACCGCAUGGUAUUUGGACAGAAAGGUGCUUAAUUGCAUCUAGGGUACCUUUUGUUAGUCUGGGAUCCCAUGCCCUCCAACUCCCUUUACACUACACAUGAGGUACUUGGGAGUGUUAACAUGGUUAAUUGCAGCCAGCAUCCCUUCUGUGUGUGUAGUUUCCUAUGCUCUCCUAUGCUGUUUGGAUUACAGCAGCAUGUACUUGGUACUGUUAAACUGCUUAAUUGGAGGUGUAGUCACUAUCGUGGGUUUAGGAUUCCCAUGACCUUCAGUCACUUUACAUUACCUGGGCAGUUUCUUGGAUUGUUAUGGUGCUUAAUUGCAGCUGCAGAUCCCUUCUGUUACUCGAGGAUUCUAUCCACUCCCUCUACAUUACUUGGGAGGGUUUUGGGUCUUUUAAAUAGCUCAAUUGCAGCUCUGGUCCCUUCUGCUAGUCUGGGAUCCCAUGCCCUCCAAUUCCCUUCUCAUUAUCACAGAUGGUACUUGGGCCUAUUAAUGGGCUGAAUUGCAGCUGUGGUACUUUCUGUUGGUCUGGGAUCCUACACGCUCCAACUCCCUUUGUAUUAUAGCUGAGCGUGCCUGGGAUUAUUAACCGGCUAGACUGCAGCUGUUGUCUCUUUUGUUUAGGACCUCACACCCUUCUACUCAGCAUUACAGCAGAGGGUAUUGGAACUGUUAAAUGUUCAAUUGUAGCUGUGGUCCCUUCUGUUUUCUAGGAUCCCAUGUCCUCCACCUACCUUUACAUCGCCUGGGAAUAUAUUUGGGAUGGUUAAAGUGCUCAAUUGCAGCUGUGGUCCCUUCUGCGUAUCUAGUUUCCCAUGACCUCCUACUGCCUUUACAUUACCUGGGAGUGCAUCUGGGACUGCUAAAGUGCUUAGCUGCAGUAUAGUCCCUUCUGUUAGUCUAGUUUCCCAUCCCCUCCCAUUCUUUGCAUUACAGCAGAGGAUACUUGGGACUGUUAAAGUGCUUAAUUGCAGCUGUGGUCCCUUUUGUACUCCAGGAUCCCAUGACCUCCCACUUCCUUUAUGUUACUAGGUGGGCAUUUGGGACUGUUAUGGUGCUUAAUUGCAUUUGUAGUCCUGUUAGUCUAGGAUCCCAUUCCUUCCUACGCACUUUGCAUUACCACAGAGGGUACUUGGGACUGUUAAGGUUCAUCCCAUCCUCUCACUCCCUGUUAGUAUUACAGCAGAGGGUGCUGAACACCAAAGCUCUUCUUUUGCCCUGUUAAUGUGCAUAAUUGCAUUUGUCCCUCUUCCUCUGCAGUAAAGACCUCACUCAUUUCCCUUGUAUUCAGCAGCGGAUGCCCUUUCCUCAAGACCUUUGUACUAGGAUAAAGUGAACCAUGGUAAUUGAUUGACCAAAACUAUGCCUUUCAUUUAAGUCCUCUGUACUCUCUGUUUUACAAGAAGGUGUACCUACUACCUCAGUUACUUUUUUGGGGGACUAUUUAUGUGCAAAAUUCCAAUGUUCAUGGGCCCCCCUGUUAAACUAAUAUCCCACCCUAUUACAUUAUAGCAGGGGAUGCUAGGGACCCAAAGUCCUUCUCUUGGGACUCUUAAUGUGCCUGUGCCCUCCUGAUAAGCUAAUAUCCUGACUUGUUAGUAUUAUAGCAGGAGGUACUGACCACCUGAAGUCUUUCUUUUGGACAGUCAACGUGCAGAGUUGCACUAGGAUCCCAUCCCCAUCACACCUCCUUUGCAUCAGGGGUGCUGACCAAUCGUGGCUGCUUCUCCUGUACAGUUAAUUGUGCAUAAUUACUGUAAUCCCUGCUCCCUUAUGUAAGAAUAGGAUCCCAUUUCCUUGCCCCAUUUACAUUACUGCAGGGUCUUCUGACUAGCCAAGAUUCAUUUUCUUGGACUGUUACUAUGCAUACUUAUAUUUGCUCCUAUGCUUGUAUACCAGGUAAGGACUCUCCCCAUUCUAUUUAUAUUCUAGCAGGAGCUGCCUACUACUAAAGACCUUACACCCUGCUGCAGUUAAUGUGCACAAUCUUAGUUGUCUUGUACACACUCUCAGUUGUCUACAACUGUGCCUUUUAGAUCAGGACACCUGCACUUAUUGAAGCAGAGGUUACUGACUACCUUAAAGCCCUUCUCUUGGGAACGUGGAUAUGUGUAAUUACAGUCAUCCAUGGUCCUUUGAGUUAACUUGGGUCCUUGAGUUUUCACACCCUCUUUGCUUUACUGCAUGAGAUACUGUGCACUUAAGGCCCCUUUCUCAAACUGUGAAUGUGCAUAAUGAUAUUUACAUUAGGAUCCUUCCCCUUCACACUCCCUUUGAAGUACUGCAGGAAUUCUGACCUAAGGUCCCAUUUCUUGGCCUGUUAAUAUUCACUAUUAUAUUUGUCUGGGUUCCUGUGCACUAGACAAGGGCAGCUCCUCUCCCCACUUUCCUUUUUUUCCAGCAAGGAGUGCCCUCUCCACAACACUAUUACAUUUGGACAAUCAAGGUGCACAAUUUUAAUUGACCACACCUAUGGACCUUAGACAUUAAUAUGCAUAAUUGCACAUGGCUCAUCCCAUUUGAAUAAGAUCUUACUCUCUCAGACCCCUUUUACAGUACAGCAGAGGUACUGACCCCUAAGGCCUUUUUUCUUGGCCUGUUAACAUAUGUGUGAUUAUGUUUGUCUGGAUUCCUGUACACUAGACAAGCCUCCCCCCACCCCCCAUCCCUGUCUUCCUUUCCCUUUCAGCAGGGGGUGCCUCCUCCAUUAUACCAUAACUUUUGGACAGUCAAGGUGCACAAUUGUAAUUGACCACAACCGUGCACCUUAGACAUUAAUGUGCAUGACUGCACAUGGCUCAGCUCAUUUGAAUAAGAUCCUACGCUUUCAGACCUUUUGUUGUACAGCAGAGGUACUGAUCACUAAGGCCUCUUUUAAUGGCUUGUUAUUGUGCAUAAUUGGAUUAAUACAUGUUCCUGUACAGUAGAUAAGGACACCCCUCUCCCCAUUCCCUUUGCCUUUUAGCAGGGCCUGAGCACUACUUUAAGAUCCUUAUAUUAACAUGGUACGUGGUUUUAAUUUACCACACCGUGUCUGUUGGACGUUAAUGUACAUAAUUGCAAUUUAGUUCAUCCUACUCUGUUGCCCUUCAUUUGCAGUAUACCAGGGUCAUUGAUCCCUCAAUCCCCUUUCUCGAUCUGUUAAUGUGCAUAAUUGCAUUUGUCUGGGUUCUUGGGCACUAGACAAGGACAUGUCCCCCCACCUCCUAUGCCUUCCAGCAGGUGGUGCCCACUGCUAAGAUCUUUACAUUUGAAUAGUUACUGUGCAGAAUUGUAGUUUUCCACAACCCUAUCACUUCCAGGACUAUUGUACCUCGUUUGUUCUACUGCAGGGGAUACUGUUUUUCCCCAAGGCUCCUUCUAGUGGACAAUUAAUAUACAUAAUUGAAAUUGUCUAUUGUCUUCAGGAGACUAAGGUCAAACCCCUUCAGCUUCCCUUUGUAGUACAGCUGAUUGUGCUGAGUAACCAAGGCCCUCUUCUUUUGGACUGAUAAUACGUGCAAUUGCAUUUUUUCCUAUUCUUUGCACUAGAUAGGGACCCCACCUACUUCCUUAGCAUUUUCAGCAGGCAGUGCCCACUACUUAAGACUCUUUCACUUGGAAAGUUCAUGUGCACAAGUGCAAUUUUCCAAGCAUGUCUUAUUCCAGACCCCUGGACCCUCUUUGCUUUAGAGCAAGGAGAUGCUAUUCACUUAAUGCCCUUUCUUUUGGACUUUAAUGUGCAUAAUUGCAAUUGUCCAUCUCUUCUGCUGGACUAAGAUUGCAACCCUCCAUACCCCCUUUGCAGCAGGGGCAUGUUAACCAUGAAUAAGUUCUUCUCUUGAGAUUAUUAGUGUUCAUAAUUGUACUUGUCUAUGGACCUGUGCAGUAGAAAGGAUGCUCUAUGUCCCUAGCGUUGCCUUUAGAUUGCUGCUGAGGAGUGCUAACUAUCAUGACCUCAGCUCUUGGACACUUAAUAUGCGCCCAAUAACAAUUAUCAAAAGUACUGGUCAUUAGAUAUGACCCCUGAAUCCUCUUUGUAUACAUCAGGGGUACUGACUAAGGCCCAUUUCUUGGACUGUUAAUGUGAAUUUUUGCAAUUAUCUGUGCCUCCUUCCAUUAGAGUAGGAAAUCAUUCCCUUACACCCCCUUUGCAUUAAUGCAGGGGCUGCUGACCACACAAAACUUCUGGGACUGUUAAUGGGCACAAUGGCAAUUAGCAAUGGAAUUUCCCUUCCUGGCCUUGUUAGACAAGCACUCCCAGCUCCAAUUUCCUGUGGCAUAAUAGGGUAUAAACAUUGCAGUGCGCCAUGAACCAGUCCGUCAAACAGCGACCCAUACUCCCACUCCUUUUGCAUUGCUCUAGUGUAUAAAAUUCCAAAUAGUCAUGGUCUUAACUGUUAUCUUCCCUUCUCCCACCCCUUGCCUGCCCUUGGACCCUCCUUAUGGACUAUUAAUGCUCACAAUUUUAGCUGUCCAUGUAUCCAGCCAUUAAAUAAGACCUUACUCCCUCACCCUGUCCCCCCUUCACCCCUUGCCCCUUUUUACAUUGUUGCUGGGGAAUGUUACCUGGGCUAGGCCCUUUCUCUUGGACUUAAAACGUUAACAAUCCCAGAUGUCAUUGGUUUACCCACUUUGUACUGCUGUAACGCCUCAGUUACACUUUCCUUGAUCCUGCCCAUAAGACAUGGACCCCUCUACUUCCUUCUUUGCAUUGCUUAUGAGUAGUGCUGACUACCCAAAGCCCCUUCGGUGUUAUUAAUUAACACAGUACUGAUUGUCCCAUUUUUCAGUCCAUCAGCCCAAGAUCUCCCUAUGACCUGGAUGUUGUAUGUUUGUGCAGUGUUGACUACCAAAAGCAGGCCUGAACUAGGUGGAUGGGCCUUCACUCCUUUUCCUGCAUUUGUUAAUGAUCCCACUUCCAAUUAUUGUCACAUUCUGGGGACAGGAACCUUCCCUGCCCACCUCUGUUACUGACUUACUGGGCAAAAGGCUCAAGGCAGGUCAGGCCCAAGGAGCUGGAUUGCCGCCCUUUAGUUUGGAUUUUCAAUAUACAUAAGUAUUAGUUGAAAAUUUUCUCCCCAGGAAGGAAGGUUAGCACUCUCUGCAUUCUUCCUUCCAGAGCAGAUUGCGCAGCUAAGAAUCUCUCCUCUUGUAUAUUGCUAUUGUACAGUGCCAAUUGCCAGGAUACAACCAAAAAGUUGCUGUUAAUUUUUUAUUUUUUAAGAAAGACAUCUGGUUUACAAGGUGGAAUUGAUAACCUGGUCAUUAAAUUUUUGAAGUCUAAAAACCCAUUUAUACUAUGUACCUGAUGACCAGUGUCUCUCAUUUUAGUAAGGGUGGUGGGUGUGUGGAUGGACCACUGUGACUCUUGCUAUUUUGGUGUUACCAAAGGAGUUCUAGAGUGGAACUCUUAAGACCAGUAUCUUUGGGCUCUACCACCAUUUUAAAACCAUUCCUUGUUUGGGCUUUACCACCAUUCACUCUUAGAAAAACUACCUAAACGUUCUAGUCCUUAAAUUUCUUCAUGUGGAGCACCAACCAUCCCCUACUUAUUUCAAGAAGAUUGCCGUAAAAGGAUGAAAUGAGAGAACGUAUGCUGAGGUGCUUUUGAAAACCACAGGUCACGUUAUAAUCUAUUAUAUAAAAUGCACCUUGCUUAAUUCUGCUCAUUUAAAGUAGCCUGAAGCACCACACUGAAGUGAGGACUUAGAAAUGAUGGGACUAGUUUCCCUGUUUUAUAUUAAAAGAAAAAUAAGCCAAUAUCUAAUUAUUCUUCUGGAUACAAAUUUCAACAGUCAGAUAGCUGCCUGGUAAAAAUGAAUACUAUCCCAGCCUCUAGUGUACAGGGUGUUUGGUGGCAGACAAGUAUUUAAUAUGGAACUGCUGAAGCAAAUAACUAGUCAUCACAACAGCAGUUCUUUGUAAUCACUGAAAAAGAAUACUGUUCCUCCAUUGGCCCAGCUCAGGGUACAGUUUGCACUUCUAGCUCCUUGGACAGCUGUAAGAAGAGUCUCUGGCUCUUUAGAAUUCUGGAUGAAUUCUCAGCCGGUUCUGUACCCCUACUUGAGGAAGGAUGGACCAAUUUUAGGUGGACUGAAGCCUGCACUAGACAGCAUCCAAAGGACAUUCAAGCAUGUGAGACCUGAGGACCGCAGGCAGCUCUAAGAAGCUCCACAUUCAUCAGAUCUUUCCUUCGGAGAAUCUGGAUAAGCUCCAACUGGUCUUAAGAGGAUGGCUUGCAGGCCACCUGGAGAAAAAGGUCUUCCUCAGAAGAAUAGGCUUGUUGCUUUAUGGUGUUAGUGACCCAUUCCCUUUGACGAUCCCUAGGUGGAGAUGGGGCAUGAGGAUCCUCCAGGGGAAAGGCUCACUACCACUGGGCAACAAGCCUAGGCCAGGAGGUUCUAUCAAGAUUCUUUCCUGGGCCCAGGUAGGAAGAUGAAGUCUCAAGACAGCUACCACACAUCAGAGGAGAACAUGGACAACAACUGCCACAUCUGUGACAUUAAUCGUGGGCAGAUCAUCAUUCUGGACCCUCUGGUCCACAAAGUCUGCCUUGAGGCCCUGUUGGAGAACUUUGCCAGUCAUUUACAUACUUCAAGAUGCCUUGGGACGUCUGCGGGAUAAAACACAAAACAAGUUGUUUAAGAAGAUAAAUAAGAAUUGUAUCUUUGUAUGCUGUGCUUGCUGAUUGAUGGAAGCUUCACAGCUACAAAUGGGAACCUGACCAGAAAUGGUACAAAGUUAUCUACCGUCAGGGAGGAUCUAAAGAACCAGGACCCUGGAUACUCUAGCUCCUGAUUGUUCCCUUUGUAUCUGCCGCAUCAUCCUUCCCAAAAGCAGUGCAUAGAGUGAGAAAUUUGAAUACACCAAAAGAUCAACGUGCCUGGCACUCUAGCAUUUUAACAUAGCAGAAUGAAUGUGUAUUUCUUUGCUUGUCUGUUUCUUCCUUGAACGUCUUUGGUCUUUCUUCUCUAUCUAAAGUGUGUCUUACCCAUUUCUAUAAUUCUCUUGUUAGUUUCUUCUCUGUGUAUCUUUGUCUCAUUGUUUCUUUUGUUGCUAAGAGUGGUCUGUGCCUUGUCUUAGAUCUCUCUCUCUUUUCAUUUUGUUACUGAUUCCCUGUGCUCUCCUAGAUCUGGCUCUUCUUUCACUGUUCUUCCCUUUGUGUCUCUGAGUCACACGCUGUGUGCUUUUUGCUCAUUACUUGUUAUGUCUACCUCUCUUCUUUUUCUCCUUGUGAAUUCUGAUUGUUUGUCACUUUCUCCCUUUCUUGUUGGUUUGACAUUUCACUUUUUUCUGAUUCUGGCCUCCUUUCUGCUGUUUCUACUCCUUAUCUUGCAUUUCUCUUUUCUACAUAUCCUUUCUGCCUCUCUUGGGCCAUUUUCUCUCUUUUUUUCCUGCUUUGUGUGCUUCAGUAUCUCUGCUCUUUGUGAUUUUCCAUUUCAGCAUUCGUCUCUCUGUUCUCUUGUUUCUUCUCUGCUUUUUCCCUUCUACUCACCUUUGAAUAUUUCAGUCUCCUCAUGAGUCUGUGUCUCCCCUUCUUUGGUUUCAUACAGUCCUCUCGCCUUGCAUGUUUAUUGUGGCUGUGUAUGUGUGCGUGUUUGUGUGUGCUUGUGACAAAGGGGCUUCCUAACCCCUUCCCAGUAGGUGCAGAGUGUCAGCUAUCAAAAUAAGUACUGCAGCACUGUUCCUUCUGCCACGCUGCCCUGUGAGACAAUCCAAGACCAAUAGAAGGCCCAAGGGUCAAAACUGAAGGAAAGCUGAAGACCUAAGAUGGACCGAAGGGGAAGGCCCAUAAUGGGUAGAAGGCCCAACGUAGAAGACAGAUGGUUUGAGACUUGAGUCCUAAAGACUAAAAUGGAAAACCCAUGUCCCACGAUAGAUGGAAUCCUCAGGCCUGAGACCGUCAGAAGCCCUGAGAGCCAUGAUGUGCAGAAGGCGGCCCUUAUUGUAUAGAAGACCUGGCUGAGUUGGAUGGAAGGCUCAAGUUCUGAGUUAGACAGAAGGCUGAAGACCCAGAAUAUGAGCGCCUGAAGGCCUGAGACCUAAGAUACAAUGCCUAAGACCUGCGAUCAAAAGGCCUUAGCUUGACCACCUAAGACCCAAAGAUAGAAGGCCCCAGACAGACUAAAGACCCAAGACGCAAGCCUCUCCAGAGGGACAGAAGGCCCCAGAGAGACAUAUAUAUCUCAAGACUAAAUCAAGCAGGAAGCUGGAGGCCCAUGAUCUAAAACCCAGGAAGAAUAGAAGCCCCAAGACCAGAGGAAUUUCAAUGAUGAGAACCUGAGGCUCACCUCUUUUCUAUUGCUAUUCUUCCUAUUCUUGGACAUUUUCAGUUCUCUCUUUCCAGUUCUCAUAUCUCCAUUUAAGCCCACUUCUUUUGAGAUAUCAUUUUUGAUGUUCCUGUUGCCUUAAGGAAACAUAUCUUUAGAUCGGCAGUAUUAUGCCUGGGCCAAUCUUAAGCCAAUUUUUAGUCACAGUUUCGAGCCAUUUAUUAAUUUUUUGGUAUUUUUUUAAACUUCCAUUUCUCUUCAUCUCCGCUCCACUUGAAAGAGACAUAUAGAUGACACUGUAUUUCAGUCUUCCCUUUUCCUCAGAAGCUCUAGGCUGACGAGAAGAGGAAAAUAUCAGGCUGUUGGGGGAAAAAACAGUGCCAGGCUAUCUAGAGAAAAUGUGAAGAGAUGCUCCAGGCUAAUGAGAAGAAUUAGACAAGAAAUACACAGAUGUCCCAGCCUGCUAAGAAGCACCAACCAGCAACACCUUACUUCUUUGAGCUUGGGUGAGCAGGAUUCCUGGGGUUUGGGAUUCCUAGUGAUGGUUACAAAAAAAGAUAAUUGGGCCUGGGACAGAGUGAGGCCCCAAGGAGACAGCCUGAACUCCCUGCUCGUAGUAGUGGCCUAAUAAUUUGGUAGACUUUGCCAACCCUGCCCCUGGGUUUAAUACCCACCUCUAGGCUUAAAGGUGAGAGAACUUGGGAAUAUUUAGCAAGUUUAAUCAUUUCCUUGAUUUUUUCCCCCUUACCAUGAGGGAAAAAAUUUAAAUGAUUGAGAAUAUAUAUGAAAGCACCAAAAGACACAGAAAAAAGCAAGGUGUUCUCAUUAAUAGUGUAUUGACGGCCAUGCACAGCUAACAUUUGAAAGUGUACUGUCAAUUGUGAAGCGUUAUGCAAAGCAGGGCUCAUCACACCCUUUUUGUAAAGGGUAAAUGUGAGAUGGUAAACAUUUUAGUUCUUUGUGGGCCAUAUAGUCUCUGUUGCAUCUUUUUACAACCUUUAAAGAGACAAAAUUAUUCUUAGCUUGCGAACCAAGUGGAUUUGGUCUGUGAGCCAUAGUUUAUCACCAUGGAUGUAAAUGCCAGGGACUGUAUACUGAAUAAUAUUAAUUUCUUUCUGUUCACCUGUCCCUGUGCUAGGCACUAAGGAUGCAGUGAUUAUUUAUGAUCACAUCCAGGUGACCCGAAUAAAAAUAUGUGAAUGUGCCUUGUAAACUACAAAGCAUUUAAAAACUUACAAAUUUCAGAGUUGAUGAAUGAAUAUUGAUUACGUAGUAUAUACAUUCUACUGUGCUAUGCACUGUGGAUACAAAGAUUUUAAAAAGUGUAAAUAAAGUGCUUUAUCAAAAGUAUGUAAUACUAUGCAGAUAUUAGGAAUGAAGUGUUUGAUAAGUGAGUAAUUCAUAUAUUUGUGGCCAUUGUGUUUCUGCUGCUGUGGUGAUUUUGAGUAAAAAUACAGUAUUCUAGGUAGCAGAAAAGAAAACACCUAGAAACUGCUUUUAAACUAUAAAAUAUACUGCAGACACAGGGGAUUAAGCUAUUGUGAUCACUUGUAAUGUGCCAGAUACUAUGCUAGGCACUACAGAUGUCAAAAGAAAAAAAAAUGUGUUCCCAUUAUAGAAUUAAAAAUUUCAGAUAAGAAGUAUGUAUUAAAGUGCUUGGUAAACUAAAGCGCUAUAUAAAUACCAGUGGGCUACAUGUUUAUGAAUGAAUGAGUAAAUAUUAAUUGCCUUUUAUGUGCCAACUAUUGUUUUGGGUACUGUGAAAUCCAGGAUAAUGCUCCCAAGUUAGAAGAAGGAAGUUUUGUCCUAUAUUAUUUAGAUGUAAGGAAUUAGAUAUUGUUUAUUUUAAUUAAUCAAGACUUUACUGGUGAUGUCAAAUUAAAUUAUUACCAGUAUAUUUUCCUAUGUUACAGGAAAAUGUAAUGAAUGAGAUUAUACUUUCUAAACUAUGAAGUGCUAUAUAAAUGUAAGACAUUAGAUGUUUUCUCUGUGAAUAAAACUUUGUGAGAUUGGCAUUGUCGCCACAAAAUUCUCAUUGUGUGGUUGACCCAUUAUGAGAAAGGUAAUAUAGUUAUACAAACUGAGGGUUUAAAUAUUUGUUAAAUGAAUGAAUUAAUAUCACUUGCCUAGUAUGUGUACUCAUUGUUACAGGCACUAAAGAUAAACAUAAAUUUAUAAUUUUAUUGUGCCUACAGCUGAGAAUAAAGUAUGUUAGCAUUUUGUGAACUCAAAAGCACCAUACGAAGGUAACUUGAUUUUCUCUUUUGGUGCAGAAUAUGUGGUUUAUAAAAUUUUAUCACAGUUAUCAUUCUACUAUGAAAACAGUCCGAAAAAAUUUGAGGAAGUAUUGUUAACUAUUCAACACUCUGAUUAUAAUAUGUAAAGGAUUAAAUGGCUGAUGAAUGCAAGGCUGGAUAAUAACUGUCUAUUAUGUGCCAAUCUCCUUGCUAGGCAUCAGAGUGUGAAGAUAAACCAUCUUUAUUGUGUCCUGGGUAGCAGACAAUAAUGUAUAAAAUCAAUUUAUAAGUCUUAAACUACCAUACAUAUAUAAGCAAUAUCUGCUGAAUGAACAUUAAUUAUUUACUCUCUCAUCCCCAGAGAUAGCAACUGGGGAUGCAAAAAUUUAUUAGCAUUAUUAUAGAACUUGCAGCAACAGAAAUCUAUGUGUAACUUUACAAAACUUACAAUUUUAUACAGAUAAAAGGAAUUAACUGUUGGCUUAAUGAAUGAUUACUAAUUACUUUCUCAGAACUGCACAUAACCUAGAAUAUAAAAAUGAUUUUAUCCUCAUGGGGUGCUCACGGGAGGAAAUGAGGUAAUAGAUGUGAGACCCAGACUAAAAGUUACUUAACCACUGCUAAGCUUAUUCAAUGAUGAAACCAUGGGAAAAACAGAAUUGUGCAAGGCAGUAUGCUAAAUGCUGAGCUAGGUGGAAAGAUGAAAUCCAGGUCAGAAGGCUACUUGCUCCUUGGCCUGAGUGAACAGAUGGGAUUUUUUUUUAAAAAAGCAACAUGUUGUGGUUCUCCAUCAGUUUUUUAAAUGCUGAAUGCUGAAGAUGGAGGUGAAUUAGAUCCACCUUGGCCUGGCUUAGAGAUGUUAAAGGCAUAAAAAUAAAUGGCUCUGGUUUGCUUUUAGAUUAAUUUAACAGAGCAUCUUUUAUGUGGAAUACAUCAUUCUAGGUCCUGAGCAUAAGAGAAGUGAAAUGGGCCUAGUCUAAAGAGCAUUAGAUCACAGACCAUAGCUGAAGAUAUGAAAACAUGUUUGAUUUUUGAGUAAAUAUUUGAAUGCAUGUUCUCUGGAAGGUACUAUGCUAUAUGAAUUAGUUGAAUAGGUUUGGUCCAGAAAAGCCAUGGAUUUGCCUUGGAAAUUAAGAAAUAGGAUAAAAAAAAGGCAUGGUUCUUUCAUUAUAAAAUGAAGACGUUUUUCCUAGUUCUAGAAAGUCCUAACAUCACUUGUUUAUUGACCCAGUUUGAAGUUAGGAGACUGAUAAAAGGGCUCAAGUUUUAUCCUUUAAUUCAUUAGUUUAACGUUUUCCUUUUAUUAUAGUUAAAUGGUUUAAGAUGAGAAUUAAGAUGAAACAACUGGUUUUAAAAGUAUUUACUCAUUGGCUUGGCUUAGAGUCAAGAAGCCACUUGAGCAAUAAAAAAGAUUCUAGAUAUUCCGUAUUUUGUAAAAAUGUAUUCACUCUGAAUAAAGUACUCUUCUUAAGUGCUGAGGAGAAUGAAGAGAUUUAAAAGACCUAGAUGAAAAUGCACUUUAAGCUCACUAGCUUAUCGUGGAAACACAAGAAGAAAUUUAAUAAGAGACUACAGUUCUUCAUUAGUUGAAAAAACUUAAUCAUUGAGGAGCAGUGAUAUUAAGACACUGAGAAGGAAUGAUCAAAUAGAUUACCUUCUCUUUGGCAUGUUUGGUAGAGUGGGAAUAAGAGAGAACUUUUUCUUUAUUCAUUCUUAGAAACAUUGAAGAAGGUGAUGCUAAAUGAAAUAGAUGUGGUACAAAAGGCGCUUAAUCUGUCUUGGAGAUGCAAUUAAAACAAAGAACAAAUGGAAUGAAAUUCUCCACUAAGCAGAAGUGUCUGUUUCCAGGCAUUGUGUUAAUUCCUAGACAGAAAACAAAAAAGAUCUUGACUGAAAGACACUUGCUUUUUAAUUGGCUUGGAGACUAGAAUAUAAGAGGGGUUACUGUUCAUUCAUUUUUUAAUUUAUUCAUUCAUUCUACAAGUAUAUUUGAGUGCCUAUUGUGCAUAAAGUUCUUUGCUAGGUUCUCAGUUGGCCCCAGAGACAUGAAAAAAUGAAUACUUCCCCAGAGAACUUUUAAAACUUUGCCUUUGGUCUGGUUUCUGGUUAGGGGCAUAGCUUAGUCCCAGAAUAACAUCGUGGGGCUUAAUUCCUACUCCAUAUUUCUUCUACCACUCUGGCCACUACAAUAAGCAGGGUUUUCUACUGAGCUUGCUCCUUAAGUUGCAGGAACCCUCCUUAUAAUAGACACUUCAUUCUUCCUAGCCCAUCCCUCAUGAAAAAUAGCUGUGACCAGUGCUGGUCAGAAGGAGGGAUAACAAAUAAUUUCCAAACCCCAGUGUCAUUGGUACUAGCCUUGGGAAACCACUCAUACUCGAGCCACAAGUGGUUUUGAAACAAAUUUACCAGUUUUGUCUAUUUUUAAUUCUUUACGUUUACAUUCUGAAAAGUAUACACUACCUAAAUAGAUCUCUUUGAAGAACAGUCUUCAGAUAGUACAUGGCAACACUGGUGAUGGAGACAUGAUUUCUCUUUUGCAACAGCUUCUUAACUUACACCUUAGAAAUCUCCUCACCAUCAAAACCUGCUCAAGAAAGGACUUGUUAGGGUAGGAUAAUGUCAGUUAAUGAAAACACCUUAACAAUUUUACUAUGCUUACGUUUUAAGAAUAAUAAAAGUUAGAACUAAUUGGCAAAAACUGGAGGAAAAAAAUACCAAAAAAACCCCGCUAAAUCUAGGCCUAACUGGGUUUUGACCUUUUCUAUUUUUAAAUCACUCACAGAGGGUGGGAUAGGAGGCAGAGUGAAAGAAAAGGUCAAAGCUGUUUCUAAGGGCAGCCUGCCUUGGUUCUGGAUUGGUCUUAAGAGCAUUACUACCUCCAGAUGUAACUUGGGGAUUGCUUUUUCUGGUUUAAUGCAAUUCCAGUAACUGGUCAUUGUUGAGAUAAGGACAAAUUCCUUUGUCCUCACUCAUUUUUGUAAGUUUUGGGGAAACAAUCUUUGGCUGAAUAGUUAUCAACUAAGCCUUGGGUUAGAUAAUUAUGGGAUUUAUUAAUUAAAUCAGUGUGACCUCUCUAUCAUAAGGUUGUCUUAAAGCUGAAGUCAAAAUUCACUGCAAAGAAAGAGGACUUUAUGGUUCACUGUAAUUGAUACAUACUUUAAAAGCAUCUAAACUUUAGUUUACAUGGCAAACCAAUAAUAACAUCCAUAAGUGCAGAAGGAAAUUGAUGAAUGGCAACAGAAUAUUGGUGGAGGGAGGAAUAUUGAGGAGGAUUUGGGUGUGAUGUUUCUAGAUUUUGCUUUGUACAUUUUUAUUUAUGCAUGAGAAACAUGCAAAAUAUUAAUACUGUUUGGCUUUUGAUACAUGGCAUCAGCUGGACUCAGUAAUGCCCCUUUCUCAGGUGGGGUGGGGGGUGCAUUAUUGGGAAGUGGAAAGGAGAGAGUAACUAAAAGCCUUCCUUUCGCAGUUUCUGGCAUCCUAAGACUACCACUACUGAUAAAACAAGAAUAAGAGAACAUGCUAUCAUCAUCUGAUUUUUGUGGCAUAAAUGAAGUUGUGAACCAAUCUGCUUUUAAAGGAAAUGACUUCGUCUCUACCCUUCGAACUCAAAGGGAACCUAUGCCAAAAUGCUCCGAUAAAUGGAAGACACACUGACUUAUGAACUGAUGUGAAAUUCAGAAUCUCUGGGCCUUGACGUUUUUUAACGAUUGAAAAAUCUUGCUCAAGAUGAGUGAACACCCAAAAGCAACUGAGACAAAUUGGGGGGUGUGUUGUCUAAUGUCAAAUAAAA
Long non-coding RNA from Equus quagga, 14728 nucleotides. RefSeq lists it as uncharacterized. The transcript has 7 exons. The record is from RefSeq and is a predicted model, not a curated record. Lineage: Eukaryota; Metazoa; Chordata; Mammalia; Perissodactyla; Equidae.